Molecule: long non-coding RNA, 3263 nt
Filed under: Homo sapiens (human)
Lineage: Eukaryota; Metazoa; Chordata; Mammalia; Primates; Hominidae
Description: HSALNT0113815
Source: RNAcentral
CCGGCUAAUAUUUUUGUAUUUUUAGUAUAGACAGGGUUUCACCGUGUUAGCCAGGAUGGUCUUGAUCUCCUGACCUCGUGAUCCGCCCGCCUCGGCCUCCGAAAGCGCUGGGAUUACAGGCGUGAGCCACCGCGCCCGGCCAUUGCUUUCUUGCAGCAACUGGGGAUUGUUGAUUCGGGACCCCUAGUCGGAGGGUGAUUUACACGUCAGUUGCAGCGCGUUGGUCAAUGUUCCAGGCUGUCAGCUCGGCACCGCCCUCAGGGCUCAAGCUACACAGGGCAUUGAAAGGUAACUGAGGUGACUUAACAAUGAAACAAGUCAGAAAUGUCCUGAUAGAGACCAAAGGAAGACAAUAUUUCAGACUCCUCUGGAUUGUUCUGGAAGAGAAAAUGCAGAAACAGCAGGGAGCAGAAGAUAAACAGGCAAUCCGUGACUCAUUAAAACAAGCAUUGGUCGCCAACAUUGUGGAGUGUGUGAAGACCCCAGAUCCAACUCGCCUAUAAACUUUUUUUUACCAGCUGGACUUAGCAUCUGCCAGAGUUUGGAAAGAGAGAUAAUCUGGUACAAAUGAUUUCAGUGUGUCGCAUUUAUUAACCUGCCACCUUACAUAACUCUGCUGAUUGGGAACUCAGGGAAAUGUUUGAGCAAUGACACAGCUUAUUGUUGGAAUGUUACAACUUUACUAAUAAAGAUGCAAGUUACUGUUUAAAAAAAAAUACAAAGACCACAGAGCAAUUGGAAAAUAAAAAUGAAGCAAAGCUAAAAAGCAUCAUGGUCUUGAGAAAUGUACGUGCCAGAAAAAUAAUUGAAAUUCAGUUUGAAUUUUGAUCAUUUUCAGUGCUUUACAUCAAUUAGGCAGGAAAAGUAUUUUAUUUUUAAAUAGUUGUCACAUUAGUUUGUCUUAACAGCUUUGAUGUAAAUAAAUGCCAAACUGGGAGCAUUAUCAUGUCCUUUCCAAACUACUUACUGUUCUAAAUGAAUGAUUCGCUUCUGUUGUUAAAUCUCUGACAAUUGCUAGAAGGGCAUUUUCACAGUAGAACUGAAGGAAAAGUAAAAUAGUGCCCAUUUUUGUUUAUAUACAAAACCGUGUCCAUUUUUGUCUUAAACAGCCUGCCUGGCUUCACAGUUUAUUAAAGACAAAGAACAUUACCCCAGGAAUAAAAUCAGUACCGAUAACCUGCAUACUUUUCAUUCUUGGGCUUUGAUUUACUUCCUUUUUUGCCUCAAAGUUUGCUUGGGAUCAUUUGGUCAAGAGGUGGAAACACCAAAGAGCAAUUUUCUUUUUUCUAUUUCUUAUCCAGAUCUCAUGCCAGUAAUUUCAAAUUAAUGAGGAUGUUUACUCUCUGGUACAAAAUUUGCACAUACUAGCUUAUAAAAUAUGGAUAAGCUGGUUUCCUAUAACAAAAUAUAGCCCUACCAUUUCAAAAAUGAAAACUGCAGAGACUUUGGAAAAAAAUCAGCUGAAGGAAUUCUUCACGUUUCACAAUGGUUAGCCUAUUAUUUGUAGUUUUGAAACUUUAUUGGUCCCCAAUCUAAUCUUUUCUGAGUAUAAAAACAUUAACAUAUGGUUUAACACAGCACAGGGCUGGAAAGUCCAUAUCCCAAAUGCAUAUUGUAUGCAGGGUGACAUUCACACUAAAUACCAUCCCUCAGGGUCUGUACUCCAUUUUACCUGGGAUUGGAGAGCCAUGAAAUCCCUGGAAAAGUUGUUCAUGAGUCUGAACCAAAUGGUGUGCAGUGUACUGAGAUACUAACAGUCUAUGCUUCUGCCAAAGGUUGCGGCUCAAAUGUCUCUCUAAGUAACAUUAAAAAUCUGCUGCUUCAUGCCUAUGAAUUUCAAUAUUUAUAGCAUUCAAUAAAACGGUCCACUGUCAGAGAGAGAUGUGCCACUGUGCACUCUCUGAGCAGAUGGGCGGCAAUAUGGCACAUUUACAUGGACCAGCUGUGGAGCGCAGAAAUGGAUGCUGGUCAGGGGCAAGGUGCAGGCCCCACAUCUGGAAUUCUAACCGACUGGCCUCGGUACCCAUUGUAAACUUUCCUUCCACAGGGUGAGCUCUGAUUUAGAGCUGCUCACUAGUGUGCCUUAAACUGCAUCAAGAGUCCUCAUUAACGCAAGAGACUAGAGGGAGGUUAGGGCCUGGAAUCCCUCUGUCGGGCAUCUGUUAGAGUCUGUGGAUGGCACUCUGUAGUCGUUAUAGAUGCACCCAGGGGAAGAUUCUCUCAGGCAUGAUGCAGUGUUCUCUAUUUAACUGAUUUUAUACCCCCAAAAAAGAGGUUUUUAUUAUAAACAGAGCUACUUUUUCCAUAUCCCCUUUUCUAAAUGGAUCAGAAUAUACCUCAGAGAAAGGACAAUUUCUAGAAUAUUUAAAAAUUUCGUAGAAAUGUCGAAUUCUUUUUUCAAGUCUCAAAUGGAACGUUGUCUUAUUUUGGGUAGAAUCAGAAUGGUUCAAAUGCAGUUAGAAGUUUCUAAAAUAUAUGAAAUUCUUAGACUAGCUGUUUUCAUUGUAGUAUCACUAUUCAGACAAUCAAAACAGCUUAGUUGUGUGUCAUUUAAAUAAUUCAACUGACUUGAUAGAAAGGUAAGCUGCUUUUGACAUUUUAAAUAUGAACAAGAAAUGGUUUGUUACAUUCAAAUACUCAUCAGAAAUAACAUUCCUGUUUCAUUUUCAAUAAAUACUUUUAAGAGAAAGUUCUACUCAUUCUUUCAUUUUGUAAAAUAAUCUUUCCCACAUUUUCCAAUUAUUGACUAAGAUGUAUUUGGUCUUCAGUGGUCCCAUCUCUUGAAUAGUUGUUUAUAUCCUUACGUUACUGAGUAUUCAUUUUCUAUGACAAUCUCUCAAGAUCUAUUCCAGUCUCCUUUCACCCCCAAGAGAAACGCAGGUAUUUUAAGCAAGUGAGACAAUACAACUCGUUAUCAAAUGGGUUAUGGUAACUCAAUCAUGUAAUGUAUGGAUAUUUUAGGGUCUCAUCAUUCAACACUCAACUUUAAAACUACUCUGAAAUCUAAACAUAGAUAUGUAUUUAUGCUAUUUGGCCUCAAUCUUCAAAAAGGAAAAUUUUGGCCAGGCGCGUUGGCUCACGCCUGUAAUUCCAGCACUUUGAGAGGCCGAGGGGGGCAGAUCACCUGAGGUCAGGAGUUCGAGACCAGCCUGGCCAACACGGAGAAACCCCAUCUCUACCAAAAGUACAAAACUAGCCAGGCGUGGUGGCACGUGCCUGUAAUUCCAGCCACGCAGGAGGCUGAGGCAGGAGAAUAGCUUGAA